UUUCUUGAAAGGAAGAUUGCAUGCGUUAUCCACUUAUCCCCCUUCUUCAACUCCUUCCUUCAACAAAUGCCCUAGCGUCCACCAAAGAAAGCAAACCUAGCAGCCUCCACCAAUCGUUGUCGCCGUCUGUCGGAGUGAGAGACUGCUGCCACCGUCUGUCGCACUCAAGAACUAUCGUCUUCAUGGUCUCGGGCCUCUCGCCAGAUCCUCCGCUUCGUGCGCUCGCAUCUCCCCUCUCUCCUCUGUGCUCGGCUGCUCGUGCCUCCCUCCGCCAGUGAGUGCUCGAGCUGUGCGCAUUGGUUGCUGCUCGUUGUCCGUGGUUGUCUCUACUCGAUUCUGCCUCCCAGUGUCACUCGAGCCUCAUCUUGGUCACUGGCAUCUCGUGGUUCGUCUGUCUCAUCGCCGGCGGCAGAAGUAACUCGUUGGGUUGUCUCUUGCUUCGUCGCCUUCUGUGGGUGGUUGCCAACUCACCGUCAACCGUUGGUUCAGUGUUGGCUUCAACUUUCAAAUGGGAAUUGGGAGCUGGUGAAGAUAAUAACAUCUUAUGGAACUGAGUCUGAUCUAGAAUUAUGCUAGUACACAGUGAUGUUUGUUCCAUUUGGCUGGACUCAGUGAGACAACUUGAAAAUGUUCUUUUUUGGUCUGAUUAACUACAAUAUUUAACCUUGUUAAUCAUAUCUUGUACAAUUUAGACAAAAGCAGGGCCUAUUUUGGUUGCCAUAAAUUCUUUCAAGAAAGUUCUUCUGUAUGGUAAUAAUUGUAUUGAAGCCUACAAUCAUAAAAGAAUUAAAAGGGCCUGUUUUAUUUUACUUUUUGACUCAAUUACUUUAAGGCAAUAUUGUCUAUCUUUAACUUGUGCACUGCAAUUCAAUCCAGUUAUUUUUAAUGGAAGUAUAAUGAUGUUAAUUUU
Non-coding RNA from Arachis ipaensis, 910 nucleotides. Lineage: Eukaryota; Viridiplantae; Streptophyta; Magnoliopsida; Fabales; Fabaceae. The record is from RefSeq and is a predicted model, not a curated record.